RNAcentral lists this transfer RNA (86 nucleotides) under Gammaproteobacteria bacterium RIFCSPHIGHO2_02_FULL_42_13. RNAcentral describes it as "tRNA-Leu". It matches the Rfam family "tRNA". Rfam says of the family: Transfer RNA (tRNA) molecules are approximately 80 nucleotides in length. Lineage: Bacteria; Pseudomonadati; Pseudomonadota; Gammaproteobacteria. The record is from RNAcentral. RNAcentral also lists the same sequence under 2 other names.
GCGAAAGUGGCGGAACUGGUAGACGCGCUGGGCUUAGAACUCAGUGGGCAACCCCCGUGAGAGUUCGAGUCUCUCCUUUCGCACCA